Molecule: ribosomal RNA, 179 nt
Filed under: Trypanosoma cruzi
Lineage: Eukaryota; Euglenozoa; Kinetoplastea; Trypanosomatida; Trypanosomatidae
Description: partial 18S ribosomal RNA
Source: RNAcentral
UCAAGCGGCUGGGUGGUUAUUCCACACACACGCACACUCCUUUUUUGGAUGUUGUGUCUUCUGUGUGUGUGGCACUCGUCGCCUUUGUGGGAAAUCCGUGUGGCACUUGUUUGGUGUUGUUGGCAGACUUCGGUCUUGCCUUCACACACGUUUCACAUGUGUCAUGCCUUCCCUCAAAG